UUUGGUUGCUCAGGUGAUUCUGCAGAGGCUCCUGCUAAAGCGCCACUUCCUCCUCCUCGUCUGAAGAGGGCGCCAUCAGGACAGGAUGUGGAGAGCCUCAGCAGCAGCCCUGCGGGACAGGACGGUUGGUGUCUUUACCGUCUUCUCAAUACAAUUAGCAUUUGUAUAAAGUUGUAAAUGUUUCCAACAAAACUUCUUCAGAAGUCUGUUUUUCAUCUUUUUAGAAUAUUACUGUAAAGUAAGUUUCAGAUAUCAUUUCUGCAGGUAGAAACCUUAAGACAAAAGGAAGAAAAUGGAACAUUUAUUGUUUAUUUCAGAUCGGGAUAGUUCUUUUCUACAUUCAGAUGUUUGUCCAGAAGGUGGCGCCAUAACGGAGCCGCUCAGUCCCGUGUUUGCGGGCAGCAGACGGUGGUCGUCUCUGAAGAGAUCGUCCCUUUCUGCUGCUGCGACUGACAGUCGAGAACGAGCCAAGUCCCUCCCCACAUACGUGAUUCGUCCAGAAUCAGAUCUGGAUGAGGGGGAGGAGCUUCUGCCACCGACUGACAGCAAAUCAGAGGACGAAUGCGAGGACGACUGCGAGGACGUUUUGUCAGCCUGAGGAACCAAACGAGCCGCAGUCGGGUGUCGUAGGCGGACCUUCAUUAACCCAUGACCUUUCAGGAUCUGGAGCAUUCUACUGUCAGAAAAUAAGCAAACAUGAAAGUUAAGCUCAGGAUUUUCAAUAAUAAUCAGAUUUUAACGAAAAAUGUGCAAAGUUUGCUGAAACCCGUGGACUCGUCCAUCAGGGUCAUGUGACCGGCUGAUGAGUGGUGUGCUGCUGCACUUCCUGGUGUAUAAAUAUGUUUGAAGCUGAGGUUCUUUUUUUUAACUAAAUAGGAUUUGUAUCGAUCGCUGCAACCUGAGCAGAAAUAUACAGGUGACGGUUUUUAUUCUGGAUGCUUUUGACAUUUGUUUGGGCCAGUUUCUGAAAUCCUGCUUAUUGUUCCUGUUGUAUUUUUUUUUACCGCUAUUAAAAGAAUUAGACUCCUCAGAAUCUCGUGCAAAGCUGUUUUUAUCUGAAACUGAGGCUUCAGCCAGGAUUCCACCUGCCGACAGCUGGGCCAGGGUCCUGGUGUGACUGGAGGGGGACCAGAACCGGCAGCUGAGGUCAGAAUGCUGCAGAUUGGGGUUGGCGUGACAACAGACACCAUGUCAUUCAUAGGACAUCCUAGUAGGAGUGGUUUUCUCCAGCUUCCACACCUGUGUCGGCCCUGGCAGCCACCUGCGCUCUGAUUGGAGGACAUGAGGUGGUCCAGCUCUGAUCAGAACUGCAUCCAAGCUCUUCACAUGGUGGACUUGGCAGCUCCUGAUGCUUUUAGAGGAUUAAUCAACCAAAAGUCCCAUCAUGCAUCACAGGCAAUGAGGACCGUGGGGUGGCAGCGCCGCCUCCGUCAGCUCAGAUCAUGUGAUCAGCAGAAAGCGCUGACAUCAGCGACCUUCACCUUCAUCCUCCGCUAGAUGUCUGCAAUUCUUCAAAGCUGAACAUUUCCUUCCUUUCAUGUGCUUUGAUCUUAUUUCCGACCUAAUUCUGGGUCAUGCGCUCUGAUCAGGUUCCUCCUGUCUGUCCAUUGUUCUGAUUGGUCGACGGGGGACAGCCAACAACAGUGGUGAACGGUGAGAAGGAAGCAGCCAUUCUCCUCCACUGUGGAUCAAAUUCCUUAACUUUCCUCAGUUCUUCGGAACUUUCCUGCUUUUUAUCCGCCUACUUGCUUUCCUGGAAGGUCAGAGGUCCAGACGAGAUGCCGCAGAAAGCCAACAGACCUUUCUUGUCCUCCACGUAGAUGAUUCACCUGUGGAGGAGCAGCAGGAUGAGUGGAGGUCGUGGAGGAGGUGAAGUGGUGAAGCUGCAGCUGCAGUGCUGAGGUGGCAGGUAACAUCUGCCACAUCAGCAAGAAUCUGACAGAGAUCCAUGAUGGGAGAGAGGGAUGGAGGGAUGAAGAGAGGACAGACGGGCUGGUUAUACUGGGACAGAGGACAGACGGGCUGGUUAUACUGGGAUGGAGAGGACAGAUGGGCUGGUUAUACUGGGACAGAGGACAGAUAGGCUGGUUAUACUGGGACAGAGGACAGAUGGGCUGGUUAUACUGGGACAGAGGACAGACGGGCUGGU
Long non-coding RNA from Takifugu rubripes (torafugu), 2149 nucleotides. Lineage: Eukaryota; Metazoa; Chordata; Actinopteri; Tetraodontiformes; Tetraodontidae. The record is from Ensembl.